Molecule: unclassified non-coding RNA, 328 nt
Organism: Cavia aperea (Brazilian guinea pig)
Lineage: Eukaryota; Metazoa; Chordata; Mammalia; Rodentia; Caviidae
Gene: 7SK
Rfam family: 7SK RNA
About the family: 7SK was discovered as an abundant small nuclear RNA in the mid-70s but a possible function has only recently been suggested. Two independent studies have found that 7SK RNA binds the CDK9/cyclin T complex (known as elongation factor P-TEFb). P-TEFb activates transcription by phosphorylating the C-terminal domain of RNA polymerase II.
Source: Ensembl
AGAUGUGAGGGCGACCUAGCUGUGGCAUCUGUCACUCUGCUGAUUGACAGGGCUGUCUGAUCUGGCUGGCUAGCUAGGUGUCCCCUUCCUCCCGCACCAUGCCAUGUGCAUCCUUCCCCGAGGCUGUGCGCUAGGCUGACGAGGAUGACCAUCUCCCAUAGAAGAGGACUGUCCUCCAUCAGGGGUACAGGAGUAGCUGUGCACCACUGCUAGAACCUCCAAACAAGCUCUCAGGAAGAAUAUGAAGAUGAAAAAGUGUAAACAGGAGAGCAAUUGAAUUAUUGAUAACUCCCCAUAAAGAAAAGUUCAAGACAUAAGGCUUCACUGG